RNAcentral lists this ribosomal RNA (253 nucleotides) under uncultured bacterium. Its description in RNAcentral is "partial 16S ribosomal RNA". It matches the Rfam family "Bacterial small subunit ribosomal RNA", at positions 524 to 776 of the family's 1533-position model. The record is from RNAcentral.
UACGGAGGGUGCGAGCGUUGUCCGGAUUUAUUGGGUUUAAAGGGUGCGUAGGCGGUAUAAUAUGUCAGUGGUGAAAGUCCUGGGCUCAACCGAGGGAUUGCCAUUGAAACUGUUAUACUUGAGUACAGUAGAGGUAUGCGGAAUUUAUGGUGUAGCGGUGAAAUGCAUAGAUACCAUAAAGAACACCGAUAGCGAAGGCAGCAUGCUAUGCUGCUACUGACGCUGAGGCACGAAAGCGUGGGGAGCGAACAGG